Molecule: ribosomal RNA, 250 nt
Filed under: uncultured bacterium
Lineage: Bacteria
Description: partial 16S ribosomal RNA
Rfam family: Bacterial small subunit ribosomal RNA
Source: RNAcentral
GACGGGGGGGCAAGUGUUCUUCGGAAUGACUGGGCGUAAAGGGCACGUAGGCGGUGAAUCGGGUUGAAAGUGAAAGUCGCCAAAAAGUGGCGGAAUGCUCUCGAAACCAAUUCACUUGAGUGAGACAGAGGAGAGUGGAAUUUCGUGUGUAGGGGUGAAAUCCGUAAAUAUACGAAGGAACGCCAAAAGCGAAGGCAGCUCUCUGGGUCCCUACCGACGAUGGGGUGCGAAAGCAUGGGGAGCGAACAGG